CGGGACGGGUGAGUAACACGUGAGCAACCUGCCUUUCAGAGGGGGACAACAGUUGGAAACAACUGCUAAUACCGCAUAAAAUAACGGAACCGCAUGAUUCUGUUAUCAAAGGAGAAAUCCGCUGAAAGAUGGGCUCGCGUCUGAUUAGAUAGUUGGUGAGGUAACGGCCCACCAAGUCGACGAUCAGUAGCCGGACUGAGAGGUUGAACGGCCACAUUGGGACUGAGACACGGCCCAGACUCCUACGGGAGGCAGCAG
Molecule: ribosomal RNA, 258 nt
Filed under: uncultured bacterium
Lineage: Bacteria
Description: partial 16S ribosomal RNA
Rfam family: Bacterial small subunit ribosomal RNA
Source: RNAcentral